CCUACGGGAGGCAGCAGUGGGGAAUAUUGCGCAAUGGGCGAAAGCCUGACGCAGCGACGCCGCGUGAGGGAUGAAGGUUUUCGGAUCGUAAACCUCUGUUAGCAGGGAAGAACGGUCACUGUGGUAAUCAGCAGUGAAUUGACGGUACCUGCACAGGAAGCAACGGCUAACUCCGUGCCAGCAGCCGCGGUAAUACGGAGGGGGCGAGCGUUAAUCGGAAUUACUGGGCGUAAAGCGCUCGUAGGCGGUCUGUCAAGUCAAGGGUGAAAGCCCCGCGCUCAACGUGGGAACUGCCUUGGAAACUGGCAAACUUGAGUGUGUGAGAGGAUAGUGGAAUUCCAGGUGUAGGAGUGAAAUCCGUAGAUAUAUGGAGGAACAUCAGUGGCGAAGGCGACUAUCUGGCACAUAACUGACGCUGAGGAGCGAAGGCGUGGGUAGCAAACAGGAUUAGAUACCCUAGUAGUC
This 465-nucleotide ribosomal RNA is filed under the name uncultured bacterium. RNAcentral describes it as "partial 16S ribosomal RNA". It matches the Rfam family "Bacterial small subunit ribosomal RNA", at positions 338 to 795 of the family's 1533-position model. The record is from RNAcentral.